CGCACGGGUGAGUAAGGUAUAGUUAAUCUGCCCUACACAAGAGGACAACAGUUGGAAACGACUGCUAAUACUCUAUACUCCUGCUUAACACAAGUUGAGUAGGGAAAGUUUUUCGGUGUAGGAUGAGACUAUAUAGUAUCAGCUAGUUGGUAAGGUAAUGGCUUACCAAGGCUAUGACGCUUAACUGGUCUGAGAGGAUGAUCAGUCACACUGGAACUGAGACACGGUCCAGACUCCUACGGGAGGCAGCAGUAGGGAAUAUUGCGCAAUGGGGGAAACCCUGACGCAGCAACGCCGCGUGGAGGAUGACACUUUUCGGAGCGUAAACUCCUUUUCUUAGGGAAGAAUUCUGACGGUACCUAAGGAAUAAGCACCGGCUAACUCCGUGCCAGCAGCCGCGGUAAUACGGAGGGUGCAAGCGUUACUCGGAAUCACUGGGCGUAAAGGGCGCGUAGGCGGAUUAUCAAGUCUCUUGUGAAAUCUAAUGGCUUAACCAUUAAACUGCUUGGGAAACUGAUAGUCUAGAGUGAGGGAGAGGCAGAUGGAAUUGGUGGUGUAGGGGUAAAAUCCGUAGAUAUCACCAAGAAUACCCAUUGCGAAGGCGAUCUGCUGGAACUCAACUGACGCUAAGGCGCGAAAGCGUGGGGAGCAAACAGGAUUAGAUACCCUGGUAGUCCACGCCCUAAACGAUGUACACUAGUUGUUGGGGUGCUAGUCAUCUCAGUAAUGCAGCUAACGCAUUAAGUGUACCGCCUGGGGAGUACGGUCGCAAGAUUAAAACUCAAAGGAAUAGACGGGGACCCGCACAAGCGGUGGAGCAUGUGGUUUAAUUCGAAGAUACGCGAAGAACCUUACCUGGGCUUGAUAUCCUAAGAACCUUUUAGAGAUAAGAGGGUGCUAGCUUGCUAGAACUUAGAGACAGGUGCUGCACGGCUGUCGUCAGCUCGUGUCGUGAGAUGUUGGGUUAAGUCCCGCAACGAGCGCAACCCACGUAUUUAGUUGCUAACGGUUCGGCCGAGCACUCUAAAUAGACUGCCUUCGUAAGGAGGAGGAAGGUGUGGACGACGUCAAGUCAUCAUGGCCCUUAUGCCCAGGGCGACACACGUGCUACAAUGGCAUAUACAAUGAGACGCAAUACCGCGAGGUGGAGCAAAUCUAUAAAAUAUGUCCCAGUUCGGAUUGUUCUCUGCAACUCGAGAGCAUGAAGCCGGAAUCGCUAGUAAUCGUAGAUCAGCCAUGCUACGGUGAAUACGUUCCCGGGUCUUGUACUCACCGCCCGUCACACCAUGGGAGUUGAUUUCACUCGAAGCCGGA
This 1314-nucleotide ribosomal RNA is filed under the name Campylobacter coli. RNAcentral describes it as "bacterial SSU rRNA". It matches the Rfam family "Bacterial small subunit ribosomal RNA", at positions 99 to 1431 of the family's 1533-position model. RNAcentral also lists the same sequence under 1 other name. Lineage: Bacteria; Pseudomonadati; Campylobacterota; Epsilonproteobacteria; Campylobacterales; Campylobacteraceae. The record is from RNAcentral.